This is an RNA transcript of Cucumis melo (muskmelon), 1773 nucleotides long. It is a transcript of the gene named alanine--tRNA ligase-like, with no coding region annotated. The transcript has 8 exons. The record is from RefSeq and is a predicted model, not a curated record. NCBI's taxonomy places the organism in Eukaryota, Viridiplantae, Streptophyta, Magnoliopsida, Cucurbitales, Cucurbitaceae.
UCUACCAAACCCUACACUUUACUCUUUUCUCCUUUCUUCUCUACCAAACCCUACGAAGGUUUUCUCUCAACAUUUCUUCCCUUUCUUGCUUUCUCAAUCUCAUCACUUUCUCCGCUCUCUUCUCUGAUCAGUCGCCAACGCGUGUGAACUCGUCGCCGUGCUAUCAUCGGAGGCAGCUUCUUCCGUUGCCGCAUCGCGCUCGUGCCUCACGUGGAACACUCACCCUCCUCACCACCGGCACGUUACCGGCUCGGGAUGUUCGCAAGCAGGUGGUACAAUUGCCAUGGAUGCUGAUGCUACAGCAGCAUUGCGCAAACAGGGAGUUGCUUUAACAGAUGACAAAUUCAAAUUUAUUUGCUUCAAGGUAUGAAUCAGUUCAAGCCCAUUUUUUUGGGUACUGUUGAUCCUAACACGUCUUUGAGCAAGCUCACCCAAGCUUGUAAUACUCAGAAAUGUAUUCGUGCUAGUGGGAAACACAAUGAUCUUGAUGACGUUGGAAAAGACACGUAUCACCAUACUUUCUUUGAGAUGCUUGGAAAUUGGUCAUUUGGGGAUUACUUUAAAAAGGAAGCCAUCACAUGGGCCUGGGAACUUCUUACUCAGGUUUAUAAGCUUCCCACAGAUCGAAUUUAUGCUACCUACUUCGGUGGAGAUGAGAAAGCUGGUCUUGCACCUGAUAAUGAGGCUAGGGACAUAUGGCUGAAGUUUUUGCCUGCUGAACGUGUCUUACCUUUUGGCUACAAAAAGCUUCAAUUAUCAAAGAAAACAAAUAUCAGUGAACAAUUGUGUCCAUCUCUGUGUGUGUGUUUGUGUGUGUGUGUGUGUGUGUGUUCAAUUCAUGUCAGCUCUUGGAACUUUUGUCUAAUUUUAUUCUUUGAUUUUGAGCAGGACAAUUUCUGGGAGAUGGGUGAUACUUGCCCUUGUGGAUAGACUAUUAGAAAGUAAAUUAUUCUUAUUAGUUGCACAAUUAAUUAUUAACAAUAUGGGUGAUAGUUGCUUCUCUUAUCAUUGUUAAAUAUUGAUAUUUGGACUUAUUAUGUCUUUCAUAUUUUGUCAUGUUUGGUUUUGUCAUCCAACUUCACUCUUUGAACAUUUAAAGCUUCAAAAAAUAAUUUUUCGUGCCUUAAAAAAAUCCUUGAUAGGUAAUGAGGGGCGUGAGUAUGUUUUGAGACGUAUUCUUCGUCGAGCAGUUCGAUAUGGAAGUGAAGUUUUAAAAGCUCAAGAAGGAUUUUUCAAUGGACUUGUGAGUAUUGUGGUGAAAGUGAUGGGUGAUGUCUUCCCGGAGCUAAAACAACAUGAACUACGAAUUAGGGAGAUAAUUGCAGAGGAGGAAGCAUCUUUUGGGAAAACUUUACUAAAGCAAGCAGGUGGUACAAUUGCCAUGGAUGCUGAUGCUACAACAGCAUUGCGCAAACAGGGAGUUGCUUCAACAGAUGACAAAUUCAAAUUUAUUUGGUUCAAGGGAGUUAUCACUAAACAAAUGACUGCAAUAGAAGAAAUGGUUGCAAGUGAGUACAAUUAGCCAGACCCUCAUCUUUGUGACAAGAUCUUGAAGUUGGUCAUUUGUGAAGCGUUCUACUUUGCUAUUAGUUGCAGUUUUAGUUAUUGUUCUUACAAUAUAUUCUUUUUCUUUCUUUCUUUCUUUUUUUCCAAAGGAUGAUCAGUGUAAUAAUUAAGCUUCAUAAUUUCUGUGUUUGGAUCCAAGUUGUAUAUAAAUGUCACAUUAUUAAGAUUUCAUUUUGUAUAUGUACAAGUAAAAGAUUUCAUUUUUAA